GGCAGCAGAGGUCAAAGUGCGCUGGCUACCUUGCUCUUCCUGUGGCAGAGUCUGGGAGGACACCUGGGAGCCGGCUAGCAAAUUCGCCUGAUGACCAAUACUGUUGUACUAUUUGUUUUGUAUAUAUUUGUCAAUAAUUAAAUUCACUAUUGUUACAUUU
Molecule: long non-coding RNA, 160 nt
Organism: Sinocyclocheilus anshuiensis
Lineage: Eukaryota; Metazoa; Chordata; Actinopteri; Cypriniformes; Cyprinidae
Exons: 2
Source: RefSeq, a predicted model, not a curated record